AGUCAGACAAACUUUUAUGUUCGUUCUGAAGGCAAAUCAAAAGCAGGAAUUUGUUACCAAAACCAUAAAUAAAUGACGUCAUCGUACAUCUGGCAUCCAUUCGUGUAGCUGCUAUACAACACUAUAUUGUUUAUUUAUUUAUUUUUUUACUUUGUGUUGAUUAAUUGCUUGCUUAUUCUUAGAAAAUAUGUAGGCGAUAAUAUCAACAUAAAUUAUAUACAUGUAUUCAUUUCAUUGGGACUAUUCACUCCUGUUGCUACGUUCUCAUGUUCGUUUGUAUUGAAAAAUGUUCCCUUAAUUAUCAAUACACCCAACCAUCAAUAAUUAUUAUAGUAAUAUCAAAAUAAAAUGUUCAUUGUUAAAUACUGGAUCAAAAUAAAGCCAAUCAGGGACCUCGACACUUGCUUUACCAUUUACGUAAGAAAGAAAACCCCGUUGAAAAAGCAGAAUCAACUGGACUUCCGCGGGAAACUACAACAAUCAUCAUCAGUCCACUGCUAUUUCCUCCGCGUAAAAGCAAUGCAAGAUGUGCUACCUCGUUUUGGAGGUGUUUUCAGGACACAGGGAAGGAAGAUGAAACCUGACUAUCUUGCACCUCAAAGGAUGGACAGCUUAGGAUACCACACGGAGGGGGGUGAAGGAGCCUUGGGGAUGCCUGAAGGAGGGGCAGUGAAGGAGGGAGGCCUGGAGGUGAAGGAAAUGCAGAAAAUUCCUCUAAUACUGAGCGCUUCUCUGGUCAGACCAUCCUUCACUGAAUAUUUGGACCGAGGCUUCAAGAUACGAGUGAGCCAGGCGACCCUCCAGAACAGCGCCAUCCUGCCCACUUGUGGUGUGGCAGCCCUGAUCGUACCCCUCCCUCCCUCCUCCUCCUCCUCCUCCUCCUCCUCCUCCAGCAUAGAAGAGACCUUUGACCAGCUGGUGGACAGGGUCCGCGCCUUUAGCCGAGUACACGCGGGGGGCGUUGUAAUACUGGUGGGUGCUGUGUUUGGCAUGGAGGAGGUGAACGGGGUGUUGGGGAAGUUAUCAAGGCGGUUACUACCACGCCCUCCCCUGCUACUGCCUGCCCACGGGGAAGCCCAGGCUGCCGCGCACAUACAACUACUGGCAAAGGCGGUGGUGGGGGGGCGGGAGGGCGUAGUCUGGAGGAGGCUGGCAGGGGUUAUGGAGGGGGUCCUGGCAUCCCCCGUCUCCCCCCACUCCCUCGCUACCCCCAUUGGCCUCUCACCGGCACAAGUAGCGGCGGGGCUGGAAGUGGGCGGGAGUUUAGCAGGUUUCGCUAAGAUUGGGCUGGAAGUUAACGGAGGAGGAGGCGCGGCACGUGACAAUGCAAUACAGGGCUUACAGAGGGCAGGCGUGACUGGGCCCUGCCUCGCCGCCCUUGUCAACACCUUAGAGAGAGAUAUGCUCACCUUGUAGAGAGAGAGAGAGAGAGAGAGAGAGAGAGAGAGAGGAUAUAUUUUAAUUUUCUUUCGUUAUAUAUUCAAUUUAUUUAUUUAUUUAUUAUUUUAACGGUUAUUUUCUUUUCUCUAUUUUUCGUUCGUUUUUUUUUUAUUAUGGAAUGUUGAAUUUUACCUAUAUUUGUUUACAUUUUUUUUAUCAAUUUCUUUCGAUUUUAUAUUCAGUUCAUUUAUUUAUCUUUAUUUUUUUAAGACCAUUUAUUUAUUUUCUUUAUUUUUUUCGUUCAUUUUCAUAAUGGGAAUAUUUACUUUUAUAUAUAUUUUUCAAUUAUUUUUCAUUUCUUCGAUUUAAAUGUGUCCAAGUACUUGCAAGGAUCAUUUAUUUAUUUAUUUACUUUUAUUUUCCGUCCGUUUAUUUAUUUAUUUAUUUAUUUAUUUAUCUUUUUUUUAUAAUGGAAACUUAUUUCAUCUUUAUUCCCGUUUUCUGUUACUUGUUCAUGCCAGGGGUGACAAUAAAUAUUAAGAUUA
Scylla paramamosain (green mud crab) is the source of this 1925-nucleotide RNA transcript. RefSeq lists it as uncharacterized. The transcript is spliced from 6 exons. The record is from RefSeq and is a predicted model, not a curated record. Lineage: Eukaryota; Metazoa; Arthropoda; Malacostraca; Decapoda; Portunidae.